ACCCCUGCAGGACCCACACCCUCUUAACAGGCCAGUCCCUGGAGACCUACAGGAAGUCUCUCCUCUCUUACAAAGUUUACAAACCCAGGACAGGGUGGGGAAUUAGAAAACCAGUUUGCAUGGAAGGUCCCUUGCCCCUGCUUUGCCCUCUGGGGCUGGGCCUGAUCGGAAAGUCUCAGUACAUCUGGUUGUACUUAAGUCAACUAGUAAUGUAGUGGAUUGUGCCUCCUGCUCAGCCUCCUCCCUUCUAACCCGGCCCUCUGCUCCCUCCUCCAGCCUCAGAGGGGAGGGGCUUAGCAAAGCCCAAGAGGUUGAACCCAACCCUACCAGAGCUGUGGUGCCAUGGUACUGUGGUUCUGAGGUGCUGUGGUGCCAUGGGACCGUGGGACUGUGGUGUCGUAGUGCCAAUGUGCUCCCUGGGCCACAACAGAGCCCUCCAGGCCCUGCAUACGUUGCUCACUUGGACCAGCUCUAGCCCCGCUCUCAUCUACAAUAGUACAACACCAAGAAAACAGCUGAUCCUGAAUCAGCUUCAAAGUACAACGACAAGAAAACAGCUGAUCCUGAGUCAACUUCAGCUGUCAGUCAUUUCCCAGAAGCCUUUGCAAAAUAUUGAAGGGUAACAGAGAAGAGCCUAAAUAGGUAGUGUGUGUCUGUAACCCCAGCUACUCCAGAGACAGAGGCAGGAGGAUUGCUUAAGUCCUAGAGCUUGAGACCAACCUGAGCAGCAUAGUGAGACCCUGUUGCAAAAAAAAUAAGAGAGAGGGUCUUGGGAAAAUAAAUAAAGAACAGAGUGGACUCACCAAGAUGGGCCUCAAAAGACUCCAGAUUCUAGUAGAGAGCACCUACGGGUCCGGCCAGAGAAGAGGAUGCAGCAAGAGGGGAAGAGGCAGACAGUACAAGAAGUCAGAUCUGUGCAUGACUAUAACCUCAAUACGGCAGAGGCAGAGGCAGAGGAGGCAGAGGCAGAGGAGGCAGAGGCAGAGGAGGCAGAGGCAGAGGAGGCAGAGGCAGAGGAGGCAGAGGCAGAGGAGGCAGAGGCAGAGGAGGCAGAGGCAGAGGAGGCAGAGGCAGAGGAGGCAGAGGCAGAGGCAGAGGCAGAGGCAGAGGCAGAGGCAGAGGCAGGAGGAUCACUACAAAUUCACGUCAGUCUUAUGUACAAACAUAAUCAGUCUACAAAGAGUGUCUCAAGGAAGCAGUAGAAGUGCAGCUAUGGUGUAAUGACCAAGACUUGGGGUGCAGUAAAGGUUGCAGUCCCCUUACCUGGUGCUGGUGUUCAAACAAAACGGUGUGUAGAAGCACUUUGGAAAGAGCUGAGUGGCCACCAUUAUCAGACUCAAAGUUCCCUAUCUGCUGCUCUGCUUAGCCUAGGUUGACUUGAAACUCACUCAGCAGUCCAGGCUAGCCUUCAUGCAUCAUGCAUCAACACACACACAUCCACACACACACACACACAGUUUGGUUGCACAAGUAAUUUUAAAAGUCUCAUAAAAAUCAGGAGAUGUUAAUAAACACAAAAGUUAAAAAUUAAAAUUCAAACACCUUUAAUCCCAUUACCCAAAAGUAAACUAUGGUCAUUUUUUGUAGCUGCCAAACAUGUGGGUGUGUAUGUGUGUGUCCAUGCUUGUGAACAUACAUAUGUGUAGAGAGACUGACUGUACACUUCUGCAACCAGCUUUUCUCAGUGACAAAUAGUUUGCACACCUUUUCACCUUUUCUUUCUUUCUUUCUUUCUUUCUUUUUUUUUUUGGUUUUUCGAGACAGGGUUUCUCUGUGUAGCCCUGGCUGGCCUCGAACUCAGAUAUCCGCCUGCCUCUGCCUCCCAAGUGCUGGGAUUAAAGGCAGGCGCCACCACCACCGGGCUACACCUUUCCUUAUCUAAUGCUGUUGAUGACAGCAUAGUGCGGCAGAUGACAUACACUUGCAAGAGUUAACUUUCCUUUGCUGUUGGUAAUUUUUUUUCUCAGAAACAACAUGUUUUUAAUGGAUUUUUUAAGCUAUAAAAACAUGUAUUAUGGACGUGUGUGCGUACACCUGAGUGCACGUGUCAGAGGACCCUUCCAGGAAGGGUCGACUCGGUCAGGCUUGGCCUCUAGUGUGGUUACCUGCUAAACCAUCUCACUGUCUCAGAAACAACAUCUUGAUGAGGAAAAAAUUUGUCGUCCACCUUUGGGGGAGACUGGGAAUAUGUCUUAGCUUGAGGAGUCACCUAGCCCAGGCCUCUGCCCUCUGCCCUCUGCCCUGCCAGUUCCUUCAGGCAGCCUCCCAGACUGGCCUUGGAAUGUGAGAUGUCCCUCAAGGCCUACGCCUCACAGAGACCAGGAGAACUGCCCAAGAGGACAGUGGCCCAGGCCUAGCCAGCAGGGAGUCAGAGCGCGAAGGUGUGUUGCAUGAAGGUGGUUUCAGGAACACACCUUCACUGAGCCCUGGGUCAAGUUGCACCAGUUCUCAAAACAGGAAGCAGGUUGCUCAGCGCUGGGAGUGAGGUCGCAGCUGAGCCAUCACCACCAACACGCAACAGGGGCAGCCCUGCCCCCUCAGAAGGCCACUGCUAACUAACUGACUGUACAAGCGCGAUGCAGAUUGCCACCUCAACCCGCUUUGGAAUCAGACCAAUCGCCCAAAUACUGGUCUUCUGGACCUGUGAACUUAAUACCCUGUUUCUGACAGACACUUCUCCACCUGCCUUCUCAUUGGCUGGCUAAAGGCUGUGUCUCCUGAUCACCUUUGACGGUGCCCAAAGUAGUUCCACCCCACUCCUCCUGCUCAGAGCAACAUUUACCUCCCCCACCUCGGGGCAGGGUGCUAACGGGCACCUGGUGGGCAUGGGAAAGGUCCUCUCUGCAGGUCUCUAGAUCCCCUUCUGUUUGCAGGAAAGCUGCCGUUGCUCUGCACACCCCCCCCCCCAAAAAAAAAGAGACAAAUAAAAGUUGAGGGCAAAUAAAAGUUGAAACAGAAAUAUUGUCAGGUCUCAUCUUAUUUUUGUUUGAGAAAUGCAGGCGUUUCCAAGGCAGCCAGGGCUGGAAAUACCUAGGAAUAUGGCCUCUUGCCUAACAUGAGAGAAUCCCCAAGCUCAACCAAGCUCAAUCGCCGAGACCUCCUCUUCCCUCACUUACACACACACACACACACACACACACACACACAGAGAGAGAGAGAGAGAGAGAGAGAGAGAGAGAGAGAGAGAGAGAAUAAUUCGGACAGUGGUCAGUGUGGCUGUGUAAAUACUUUUGAGCUGUUUGCCACCAACCUUAUGUGUCCCUCACACACGCCUAUCCUCCUUUUUUCCAUUUUCCUUCAAUCACCCAGUUUCUACAGGGCCCUGGCUUAAAACUACACCAAGUUCCAGCAACCCCUCCUUAGUGGCCUAGCCCAUAAAACAAACACGUGACCAGAAUUCAUCCCAUUAGGUGCCACUACUGAAGAAAAAAAAAAGCACAACUACUUUAUUUUUUAACAAAUAUAUUUUUAAAAGAUGUAUUUAUUUUAUAUGAGUACACUGUCACUGUCUUCAGACACCCCAGAAGAGGGCGUCAGAUCCUGUUACAGAUGGUUGUGAGCCUCCGUGUAGUUGCUGGGAAUUGAACUCAGGACCUCUGGAAGAGCAGUCAGUGCUCUGAACUGCUGAACCAUCUCCCCAGCCCUGCAUGACUACUUUAUAUUUAUUGGAAAGGAAAGCCAAUUAAACUGACUAGGAUUCCAUAUUGCUUAUUGAAAAGACUUUUAAAAAUAAAUGCAAACACCCAUUGCUGGACCCUGUGAGCUGCCUUGCCAGUGAGCCUUCUCUCCAGCCCAGCCCACUUCAGCUCCAUCCAUAAGUGCAUUUGAAAACAGGC
Molecule: long non-coding RNA, 3836 nt
Filed under: Mus musculus (house mouse)
Lineage: Eukaryota; Metazoa; Chordata; Mammalia; Rodentia; Muridae
Description: long non-coding RNA chr15:101082224-101086060
Source: RNAcentral